CAACCCGACCGGUCUCAGUUUUAGAUUGGUUUCCGUACGAUUCGGUCUCAAAAUUUCUGUUCAUUCAGUAUUGUUUUGUAUUUUUUUGUAAUUGAAAAAAUUUAGGUGUCAAUGACAAGAUCCCAGAGAAAAUUCGCGAUCACAGACAAGUUUCUGCCAAGGCUCGCUAAAAACCUGUGCACCAGAAAAGGCAGCCGUCGAGCCAAUACCGGGAACCGGCUAGAACACGCCGUCCUCACCCACAUCCAGCACGUGCCGUAGAUCAGCCCAGACCAGACCAGACCGCCCCAUCACCCCCACCACCAGCCCACUAACACCAUGGCCCGCGGUGACGAAUGCAAGACUGCUACCAAAGCUACUCACGCAUGCAAGCAAUUCGACGUCUCAGCCCCUAUCAAAAAACCUGUCGCAGCAUCAAUAAGCAAUCCACCCAAGAAGCCGGAGCAGAAGAACUACGGCGCCUGGGGCUCCACCUUCAAAGACAAGAAAACAUUCCUGGACAUGCAUUUCUGCUGAAUCACCACCGCCGCUACAUCAUCACAAACUAACGUCACGACAUAAUUUAAUUUUAGUAAUUGGCCAAAAAUAUUAAUCUACCAAAAUGUAUUAUUAAAUAAAUUACUAAUCUUUAAAAAAAUGUUUGUGUCGUUGCUUACUCUUUAUAUUUCGGGUGGAUCGCACUAUUCCGGUUAUUAGAAUUAGAUUUCAUAAUAUUGCAAUAAUUAUCUGUUGUGCCAUUUAAUUAAUUAAAAAGUUUAGUAAUUGCAGAAAUUGAGAUAAAAAUAAAUAAUGAAAAUAUCAUUAGAUUAGAUAUUCAUGUAGAUAAAGGUAUCAAGCAAGUUUUUGGUAUUUAAGAAUAUAAAGUAACGUUUUUAAUCUAUGUUAUCAGAUAGACAGAAACACUUACGUGAGUUUGAUGGAUAAUUACCUUAUUUUUUCUGUUCUCGUUUUUUGGUGGUUGUAUUUUCGAACAUAGAUCAAUUUUCUGAAGCAUUGGGCAAAUUAGGGGAUUUAGGCUCAAAUUUGGAAAAAUCAAAUGUCAAUAAAUUAUAAUGAAUUUAGGUUGUCCUUUAGACAAGCUUUUCUCAUCACUACAAUAAAGUAAUCACCAUCAUAUCGGCAGCAUAAUUCACAAACUUUGACGUAUGUUAUUGACAUAUUAUACGAAAUUGAAAUCCAAUGUAACAAAAAAACAAAAUCCUUUGUGGAUAUCAUACAGUAGAUUGAUGACAUAUCUGUGUUGAUUGAUGUUUAUUUUAAUACGUAGUCAAUGAAGAUCAAAUUAGUGAAUAAGCCAGCAGUACUGUGCGUGAUUUUCUAUUUAAAUUCAUUAAUUACAAGCCUGUCUGAAUUAUAAAGAUUUUUAAAAGUUCUCUAUUGAGGUGGCGAUGAAACCAACAGUUUAUAUUUUCCAUAAUUCAAAAAUUUAACUGCUAACAUCAUUAUUUUAUUUCAUUUGCGUAUUUUCAAUAAUAUAGUGAGUUCCACCUAUAUUUUCUUUACGGUGUAGGGAUCUCUCGCGUACUAACAAUCAUUUGUAUCAUUUUAAUUAAAGUAUCAUCAUCCGCAUUAGUUUUUGUGUUACAACCUGACGAUUAAGGAUUGAGACUAAAAUGUAGAUUGGUUGCAAGUGAAUAAAAACGAUAGAAUUAAUUAAUUUAUUUAAUA
This is a long non-coding RNA of Bicyclus anynana (squinting bush brown), 1668 nucleotides long. RefSeq lists it as uncharacterized. The transcript is spliced from 3 exons. The record is from RefSeq and is a predicted model, not a curated record. NCBI's taxonomy places the organism in Eukaryota, Metazoa, Arthropoda, Insecta, Lepidoptera, Nymphalidae.